AGGGCCCGCCGGGGAAGCGGGGCAUGCAGGGCGUGGCUGGCGCGACGGCCCCCCGGUCACCCGGGCAGAGAGGGGCCGGCGGGGGAGAAAGGGCUCCAGGGCACAGCUGGCGCCGUGGGACCCGUUGGCUACCCAGGCCCCCGUGGGGUCAAGGGGGCCUUUGGAGCCAGGGGCCUGAAGGGAAG
Molecule: long non-coding RNA, 185 nt
Organism: Chelonoidis abingdonii (Abingdon island giant tortoise)
Lineage: Eukaryota; Metazoa; Chordata; Testudines; Testudinidae
Source: RefSeq, a predicted model, not a curated record